CCGUAGGUGAACCUGCGGAAGGAUCAUAGUUAUGGAGAGGUCAGCCUUUAUGGGCCCCUCGUCACACUCUGGAUGCAAUGUGCUCACGCACUAGUCUUGGUCCAUUAGUGGGCCUCGACAAAACCUUUGUAAUCCAUCUUAUGCCUAUUUGAAACCAUGAAAGAUUUACAACCAGUAGCGUUGGAUCCCUUGGCACGUCAUUCGAUGAAGACCGUUGCAAAAUGCGAUAAGUGGUGUGAUAUGCAAGUCCAAAACUUAUACGUGAAUCAUCGAAUUGUUGAACGCACUGCAUCGAGCCUUACCCAGGAACGAUACGCCCCAUUGAGCGUCAUUAUGUCUUCGCGACUUGUCAUUUAGUUGACUCUGUCCGGGUUCGGGAUUCACGACCUUUCGAGGUUGCGCUUCCUUAGAUACAUGUGUGCGCCAGCGCCUGAUGGUGACCUUGUCAUGAAUGUCGAGGUGAGCCGGAAAGUGUUGUGCGCAAGAUCCGCAACUUGCGUGCGGAUCAAGUGCAGCCACUUCACUGUGGACGCAACUUCUCUACAUGACCUCACGGGGGUGGGACGACCCGCUAGACUUAAGCAUAUUAAUCAGCGGAGGAAAAGAAACUAACAAGGAUUCCCCUAGUAACUGCGAGUGAAGAGGGAUUAGCUCAAUGUGUGAAUCGGGUCGGGAUUAGCACCUGGCUCGAGUUGUGCACUAUAGACGGCGGAUCAGCGCUUGAAAGAUUGAGUCGGAUGUCCGAUGAAACUCGGUGCCAUUGAGGGUCAUAGUCCUGUACUUGGCUCAUCAUCUUUUGCGCAUUUGACCGACGCUCUGCGAGUCGCGUAGUUUUGUAUUGCUGCGCUAAUUGGGAGGUAGAGCCCUUCUAAAGCUAAAUAUGAUGACGUGACCGAUAGCACACAAGUACCGCGAGGGAAAGGUGAAAAGCAACCAUGCAGAAUGGGUUGAAACAGAAGUGAAAGCGCUACUGGGAUAAGGGCUGGGGAUUGCUUGUGUUGCUUGCGCGUGCUUCAGUGCUGUGCUUGUGAACGGCAUGCUUCAAUUGGGAUGGGGAGAACAGGGCCUCGGGAAUUCGGCUGGAUCCGUCCAGUGUUGUAGCCCAGGUGUCAAUGGAGCCCCUUCGGAUUGUUGAGUGUCUUGCGAUUGUCAGCCGCCCGUCUUGAAACACGGACCAAGGAGUGCACCUUGCAUGCGAGUCGAAGGGACUGUAAUCCUGGAGGCGUAGCGAAAGCGAAGGCCACGAAUCCUCACGGUGUCGGUGGCACCCGCCUUGUGCGAGGUAGAGCAUGUAGGGUGCGACCCGAAAGAUGGUGAACUAUGCCCGGGUAAGGUGAAGCCAGUGGAAACGCUGGUGGAGGCCUGUAGCGGUUCUGACGUGCAGAUCGAUCGUGUAACCUGGGUAUAGGGGCGAAAGACCUAUCGAACCGUCUAAUGGCUGGUUCCCCCCGAAGUUUCCCUCAGGAUAGCUGUGUCCCUAUUGUCAGUUGCACGCGGUAGAGCGAAUGAUUAGGUGUCUCGGGGACUUAUUGACCUCGGCUCAUUCUCAAACUGCGAAUUGUGUGCGUUCCGCGCUGUGUCCUAAUGGCACGCCGGGUGAAUGACAGGACGCAAGUGGGCUGGUUUUGGUAAGCAGAACUGGCG
RNAcentral lists this ribosomal RNA (1644 nucleotides) under uncultured Tulasnella mycobiont of Riccardia palmata. Its description in RNAcentral is "eukaryotic LSU rRNA". The stretch from base 546 to 1644 matches the Rfam family "Eukaryotic large subunit ribosomal RNA", at positions 1 to 1155 of the family's 3401-position model. The record is from RNAcentral. Lineage: Eukaryota; Fungi; Basidiomycota; Agaricomycetes; Cantharellales; Tulasnellaceae.